CCCGGAGAUAGCUGGUUCUCCGCGAAAACUAUUUAGGUAGUGCGUCACGUAUGUCCGCCGGGGGUAGAGCACUGGAUGGGCUAGGGGGGAGCAGAUCCCUACCAAACCUAACCAAACUCCGAAUACCGGUGAGACCAGCGUGGCAGACAGACGGCGGGUGCUAAGAUCCGUCGUCGAAAGGGAAACAGCCCAGACCGCCGACUAAGGUCCCCAAGUCAUGGCUAAGUGGGAAAGGAUGUGGGAAGGCCAAAACAACCAGGAGGUUGGCUUAGAAGCAGCCACCCUUUAAAGAAAGCGUAAUAGCUCACUGGUCUAAUUAAGCCGUCCUGCGCCGAAGAUGUAUCGGGGCUAAAGCCAUGCACCGAAGUCGCGGACGCGUGCUUGCACGCGUGGUAGCGGAGCGUUCCGUACGCCUGCGAAGGUGGCUCGUGAGAGUUGCUGGAGGUAUCGGAAGUGAGAAUGCUGACAUGAGUAGCGAUAAAGAGGGUGAGAGACCCUCUCGCCGUAAGUCCAAGGUUUCCUGCGCAAGGUUAAUCCGCGCAGGGUGAGCCGGCCCCUAAGGCGAGGGCGAAAGCCGUAGUCGAUGGGAACCAGGUUAAUAUUCCUGGGCCUGCUGGUGGUGACGAAUACUGGACGUAGUUUACCCUUAUUGGAUUGGGUGGGCUGCCAAGGUGUUCCAGGAAAUAGCCCCAGCGUAAGACCGUACCCCAAACCGACACAGGUGGACUGGUAGAGCAUACCAAGGCGCUUGAGAGAAUGGCAUUGAAGGAACUCGGCAAAAUGCCCCCGUAACUUCGGGAGAAGGGGGCCCUGUUCCCGGGCAACCAGGAACAGGGGGCACAGACCAGGGGGUGGCGACUGUUUAUUAAAAACAUAGGUCUCUGCGAAGCUGCAAGGCGACGUAUAGGGACUGACGCCUGCCCGGUGCCGGAAGGUUAAGGGGAUGGGUGCAAGCCUUGAACUGAAGCCCCGGUAAACGGCGGCCGUAACUAUAACGGUCCUAAGGUAGCGAAAUUCCUUGUCGGGUAAGUUCCGACCCGCACGAAUGGCGUAACGACUUCCCCACUGUCUCCAAUGCCAACUCAGCGAAAUUGAACUCUCCGUGAAGAUGCGGAGUACCCGCGGCCAGACGGAAAGACCCCGUGCACCUUUACUAUAACUUUGCAGUGGUGCUAGCUAUGAUAUGUGUAGGAUAGGUGGGAGCCUUUGAAGCGUAGGCGUCAGCUUAUGUGGAGGCAAUCUUGAAAUACCACCCUUAGCAUGUCUGGCAUCUAACCGAGGCCCGUUAUCCGGGUCCGGGACACUGCAUGGUGGGUAGUUUGACUGGGGCGGUCGCCUCC
This 1340-nucleotide ribosomal RNA is filed under the name marine metagenome. RNAcentral describes it as "bacterial LSU rRNA". It matches the Rfam family "Bacterial large subunit ribosomal RNA", at positions 838 to 2290 of the family's 2925-position model. The record is from RNAcentral.